GAUGAACGCUGGCGGCGUGCCUAAUACAUGCAAGUCGAGCGAACGGACGAGAAGCUUGCUUCUCUGAUGUUAGCGGCGGACGGGUGAGUAACACGUGGAUAACCUACCUAUAAGACUGGGAUAACUUCGGGAAACCGUAGCUAAUACCGGAUAAUAUUUUGAACCGCAUGGUUCAAAAGUGAAAGACGGUCUUGCUGUCACUUAUAGAUGGAUCCGCGCUGCAUUAGCUAGUUGGUAAGGUAACGGCUUACCAAGGCAACGAUGCAUAGCCGACCUGAGAGGGUGAUCGGCCACACUGGAACUGAGACACGGUCCAGACUCCUACGGGAGGCAGCAGUAGGGAAUCUUCCGCAAUGGGCGAAAGCCUGACGGAGCAACGCCGCGUGAGUGAUGAAGGUCUUCGGAUCGUAAAACUCUGUUAUUAGGGAAGAACAUAUGUGUAAGUAACUGUGCACAUCUUGACGGUACCUAAUCAGAAAGCCACGUCUAACUACGUG
This 497-nucleotide ribosomal RNA is filed under the name uncultured bacterium. RNAcentral's name for it is "partial 16S ribosomal RNA". It matches the Rfam family "Bacterial small subunit ribosomal RNA", at positions 28 to 507 of the family's 1533-position model. The record is from RNAcentral.